GCAUUGGUGGUUCAGUGGUAGAAUUCUUACCUCAAAUGCAGGCGACACAGGUAUGAGUCCAGCCAAUGCA
This 70-nucleotide transfer RNA is filed under the name Loxodonta africana (African savanna elephant). It matches the Rfam family "tRNA". From Rfam's summary of the family: Transfer RNA (tRNA) molecules are approximately 80 nucleotides in length. Lineage: Eukaryota; Metazoa; Chordata; Mammalia; Proboscidea; Elephantidae. The record is from Rfam by way of RNAcentral.